Long non-coding RNA from Danio aesculapii, 1086 nucleotides. RefSeq lists it as uncharacterized. The transcript has 3 exons. The record is from RefSeq and is a predicted model, not a curated record. NCBI's taxonomy places the organism in Eukaryota, Metazoa, Chordata, Actinopteri, Cypriniformes, Danionidae.
GGUACUUCCUCGGUGGUACUUCCUGGUAGCCACCAUAUAUAAGCACACUGUUUAUGUCUGUUCUUUGCGAAGUAUUGCCAGUUCCACUGCCUUACCAAGCGGUUUCCAACUGUUGUGUUUGCUAUAGUGUUAUGACCUUUUUGCCUGCCUUUUGACUACUGCUUUUUGGAUUUUGGACUCUGCCUUGUUUGCUAUUUUCGGACUGCCUCUUUGUUUGCUUGACUCAGCCUGGUUAGGAUUACGAUUCUGCCUUUGUUUGAUGUUUGCUGUUUACUUAAUAAACCUCCAGCGUUUGGAUUCAAUCAGCCUCCAUGUCUUCACCUACGGCUCCCUCACAGGGCUGUUUUAACUGCGGUUUUCUCAUCACUGAAAUUUUUGUUGUUCUUGUUCUAAACAAAAACUUUGCUAGUGCCCCUUUAAAACCAGGUAGACAUUCACACUGGCCGGUCACAUGGUGACAGGGGCCAUUGCUGUGGACACAGUGUGGACAUGCCUGGCUGCAGCGGUGGCCAAAGACACCUGGAGAACAGACUGGGGGGACAUCGAGAAAACACCAGGAGAAAAUGAGAAAUGAGAAAACAGACAUGUCGUCAAAGAGACAGACAUAUGAACACAAACGCACAGUCUGUUUGAAUACUCACUGUGUUGGCAGGUGGUUCCUCUGAAUCCAGGUGCACACUCACAUGCACCUUCAUCAGGGGUUUUCACCUUUAUAGUGAUACAACAGUGGAAAUCUAGAGACAGAAAAGUAUGGGGAGCGGAGAUAGUGGAAGGGUCAGCAAAGGACCUCGAGCUGGGAAUCGAACUUGGGUCACCGUGAACAACUCAGUACCGUGUGUCGACGCACUAACCACAAGGACAUUGGCGCGGACUUUCAACACAUUUCUAAACAUAAUAGUAAAAAAUAAUAACUUACAAUAAGGAUGUAAUCCUUAAUGUUAGCUAAUCAUUAGGUUUUUUUGUCAUGUGUCAAUUAUAAAUCAAUUAAUUAGGCAAUUAAUUAAGCAUAAUUAGUUCAUGUUUACUUACACAAUCACUAAUUUGUUCAUGGAUUACAUAACAUGACCUAAAAAUGAACAACAUAUU